GAGUUUUUAGAUUUUAGAUUUAACAGGUUAAGGUUGAAUAUAUCUUAUCUUUAAUGGUUAUGAGAUCAUAGAUUAAUGCUUUUUUUCUUUUUAAAAGAUAAACAUUAUGAAUGAGGAAAAAGUUAACAGAGUAAAUAAAGCUUUUGUAAAUGUACAAAAGGAACUUGCACAUUUCGCAAAAAGCAUUUCACUUGAACCUCUGCAGAAAGAACUGAUUCCUCAGCAGCGUCAUGAAAGCAAACCAGUUAAUGUUGAUGAAGCUACAAGAUUAAUGGCUCUGUUGUAAUAUACUGGUGAUGCAUCUAAUUCUCCACAAAGACCAAUAAAUUGAAUGUUUUAUACAA
RNAcentral lists this long non-coding RNA (344 nucleotides) under Homo sapiens (human). RNAcentral describes it as "non-protein coding lnc-CA1-3:1". Lineage: Eukaryota; Metazoa; Chordata; Mammalia; Primates; Hominidae. The record is from RNAcentral.